Melanotaenia boesemani (Boeseman's rainbowfish) is the source of this 107-nucleotide long non-coding RNA. RefSeq lists it as uncharacterized. The record is from RefSeq and is a predicted model, not a curated record. NCBI's taxonomy places the organism in Eukaryota, Metazoa, Chordata, Actinopteri, Atheriniformes, Melanotaeniidae. The transcript has 2 exons.
UCGUAGAAAAUGAGGGAUUCAGGGCGCUCAUGCAGCUUGUUGCACCCUCAUAUGUUCUACCAAGCAGGAAGACCGUCAAGGACUUGGUGGACCAGAAAUAUGAGGAG